RNAcentral lists this transfer RNA (77 nucleotides) under Candidatus Bathyarchaeota archaeon. RNAcentral describes it as "tRNA-Phe". It matches the Rfam family "tRNA". From Rfam's summary of the family: Transfer RNA (tRNA) molecules are approximately 80 nucleotides in length. The record is from RNAcentral. Lineage: Archaea; Thermoproteati; Candidatus Bathyarchaeota. RNAcentral also lists the same sequence under 1 other name.
GCCGCGGUAGCUCAGUUUGGGAGAGCACCCGGCUGAAGACCGGGUUGUCGAGUGUUCAAAUCACCCCCGCGGCACCA